Molecule: ribosomal RNA, 374 nt
Filed under: uncultured organism
Description: partial 16S ribosomal RNA
Rfam family: Bacterial small subunit ribosomal RNA
Source: RNAcentral
GUAGGUGGCAAGCGUUGUCCGGAAUUGUUGGGCGUAAAGCGCGCGCAGGCGGGUCCUUUAAGUCUGAUGUGAAAGCCCACGGGCUCAACCGUGGAGGGUCAUUGGAAACUGGGGGACUUGAGUACAGAAGAGGAAAGCGGAAUUCCAAGUGUAGCGGUGAAAUGCGUAGAGAUUUGGAGGAACACCAGUGGCGAAGGCGGCUUUCUGGUCUGUAACUGACGCUGAGGCGCGAAAGCGUGGGGAGCAAACAGGAUUAGAUACCCUGGUAGUCCACGCCGUAAACGAUGAGUGCUAAGUGUUAGGGGGUUUCCGCCCCUUAGUGCUGCAGCUAACGCAUUAAGCACUCCGCCUGGGGAGUACGGCCGCAAAGGCUG